RNAcentral lists this unclassified non-coding RNA (646 nucleotides) under Hevea brasiliensis (rubber tree). The record is from RNAcentral. Lineage: Eukaryota; Viridiplantae; Streptophyta; Magnoliopsida; Malpighiales; Euphorbiaceae.
GGAACUUGUGAGAGUUCUUCCCAGCACGGAGGAUGAGGUCAAUGUCGCUUGUUUCCAUCCUUCGGUUGGUGGUGGCCUUGUCUAUGGAACCAAGGAAGGGAAGUUAAGGAUUCUCCAAUAUGACAAUUCGAACAGCCUGGGUCGCACAAUUCCCUGUUCUCCUGUCGAGAACAUGCUCGAGGUCCCAACGUAUGCUUUAGAAGGCUAGUAACUUGUGAUGAUAAGAAAAGGGUCUCGUAUCAUACUAGUCCGCUAUGGCCAGCGCCUGCAAAGAUGAGUGCUUUUGCCGAGGACAUUGAAACCUUGAACCUUAAUGCAGUACAGCUACAGCAGUAUAUUGAAGAGGUUUAUACUUGAGCUUGUCUAACUUAUAGUCACUACAGAUUUAAGACUUAUGGAACUUUCAGGGACCGAAAGAUUCACAGAACGUCUCGCCUUGGACUACUACCCACGUGACUGCACGAGUGCUCUAGAGUUCUGUUUGAUGGAAGGUAAGUGCUGGCGGAAUCGAGGGAUUGUUUCUACAAAUUUUCCUGCAGAUGACUUCAAAUGUACUAUAGGAGUUUGAUUUUUAUUUAUUGGAUUUCUUUCGGAAGGAAAAACAAAAAGGAAGAGAAAGAUCCCUAACACAUAUUUGAGUCUUGAA